AAAAAAGGUAAGCUACUAAGAGCGAAUGGUGGAUGCCUUGACUGGUAAAGGCGAUGAAGGACGUACUAGACUGCGAUAAGCUACGGGGAGCUGUCAAGAAGCUUUGAUCCGUAGAUUUCCGAAUGGGGCAACCCAAUGUAUAGAGAUAUACAUUACCUAUAUAGGAGCGAACGAGGGGAAUUGAAACAUCUUAGUACCCUCAGGAAAAGAAAUCAAUAGAGAUUGCGUCAGUAGCGGCGAGCGAAAGCGCAAGAGGGCAAACCCAGUGCUUGCACUGGGGGUUGUAGGACUGCAAUGUGCAAGAGGUAAGUUUAGCAGAACAUUCUGGAAAGUAUAACCAUAGAGGGUGAUAGUCCCGUAUGCGAAAAACAAACCUUAGCUAGCAGUAUCCUGAGUAGGGCGGGACACGAGGAAUCCUGUCUGAAUCCGGGUCGACCACGAUCCAACCCUAAAUACUAAUACCAGAUCGAUAGUGCACAAGUACCGUGAGGGAAAGGUGAAAAGAACUGAGGUGAUCAGAGUGAAAUAGAACCUGAAACCAUUUGCUUACAAUCAUUCAGAGCCCUAUGUAGCAAUACAGGGUGAUGGACUGCCUUUUGCAUAAUGAGCCUGCGAGUUGUGGUGUCUGGCAAGGUUAAGCAAACGCGAAGCCGUAGCGAAAGCGAGUCUGAAUAGGGCGCUUAGUCAGAUGCUGCAGACCCGAAACGAAGUGAUCUAUCCAUGAGCAAGUUGAAGCUAGUGUAAGAACUAGUGGAGGACUGAACCCAUAGGCGUUGAAAAGCCCCGGGAUGACUUGUGGAUAGGGGUGAAAGGCCAAUCAAACUUCGUGAUAGCUGGUUCUCUCCGAAAUAUAUUUAGGUAUAGCGUUGUGUCGUAAUAUAAGGGGGUAGAGCACUGAAUGGGCUAGGGCAUACACCAAUGUACCAAACCCUAUCAAACUCCGAAUACCUUAUAUGUAAUCACAGCAGUCAGGCGGCGAGUGAUAAAAUCCGUCGUCAAGAGGGAAACAACCCAGACUACCAGCUAAGGUCCCUAAAUCUUACUUAAGUGGAAAACGAUGUGAAGUUACUUAAACAACCAGGAGGUUGGCUUAGAAGCAGCCAUCCUUUAAAGAAAGCGUAAUAGCUCACUGGUCUAGUGAUUUUGCGCGGAAAAUAUAACGGGGCUAAAGUAAGUACCGAAGCUGUAGACUUGCACACAACUUAGAUUAUUUAAGUUUAGAAUAUGAGAAACUAAGUUAUAUGUUUAGUUAUAUUUUUACUGAUUUUUAUAGAGUAAAGAUAGAAAUAAAACUUAGUAAAAUCAGUAAAAAUAUUCUUAGACUAAAGUUAAGUAGUUUAAGUUGUGUGCAAGUGGUAGGAGAGCGUUCUAUUUGCGUCGAAGGUAUACCGGUAAGGAGUGCUGGAGCGAAUAGAAGUGAGCAUGCAGGCAUGAGUAGCGAUAAUUAAUGUGAGAAUCAUUAACGCCGUAAACCCAAGGUUUCCUACGCGAUGCUCGUCAUCGUAGGGUUAGUCGGGUCCUAAGUCGAGUCCGAAAGGGGUAGACGAUGGCAAAUUGGUUAAUAUUCCAAUACCAACAUUAGUGUGCGAUGGAAGGACGCUUAGGGCUAAGGGGGCUAGCGGAUGGAAGUGCUAGUCUAAGGUCGUAGGAGGUUAUACAGGCAAAUCCGUAUAACAAUACUCCGAGAACUGAAAGGCUUUUUGAAGUCUUCGGAUGGAUAGAAGAACCCCUGAUGCCGUCGAGCCAAGAAAAGUUUCUAAGUUUAGCUAAUGUUGCCCGUACCGUAAACCGACACAGGUGGGUGGGAUGAGUAUUCUAAGGCGCGUGGAAGAACUCUCUUUAAGGAACUCUGCAAAAUAGCACCGUAUCUUCGGUAUAAGGUGUGGUUAGCCUUGUAUUAGGAUUUACUCCGAAAGCAAGGAAACUUACAACAAAGAGUCCCUCCCGACUGUUUACCAAAAACACAGCACUCUGCUAACUCGUAAGAGGAUGUAUAGGGUGUGACGCCUGCCCGGUGCUCGAAGGUUAAUUGAUGGGGUUAGCAUUAGCGAAGCUCUUGAUCGAAGCCCGAGUAAACGGCGGCCGUAACUAUAACGGUCCUAAGGUAGCGAAAUUCCUUGUCGGUUAAAUACCGACCUGCAUGAAUGGCGUAACGAGAUGGGAGCUGUCUCAAAGAGGGAUCCAGUGAAAUUGUAGUGGAGGUGAAAAUUCCUCCUACCCGCGGCAAGACGGAAAGACCCCGUGGACCUUUACUACAGCUUGACACUGCUACUUGGAUAAGAAUGUGCAGGAUAGGUGGGAGGCUUUGAGUAUAUGACGCCAGUUGUAUAUG
This 2332-nucleotide ribosomal RNA is filed under the name Campylobacter jejuni. Its description in RNAcentral is "partial 23S ribosomal RNA". It matches the Rfam family "Bacterial large subunit ribosomal RNA", at positions 1 to 2183 of the family's 2925-position model. Lineage: Bacteria; Pseudomonadati; Campylobacterota; Epsilonproteobacteria; Campylobacterales; Campylobacteraceae. The record is from RNAcentral.